CAAUAGGCCCUUAGUGUGCACGAGGGCCACCCAUUUUAUCAAAUACAUCAAA
This is a non-coding RNA of Capsicum annuum, 52 nucleotides long. Lineage: Eukaryota; Viridiplantae; Streptophyta; Magnoliopsida; Solanales; Solanaceae. The record is from Rfam.